Long non-coding RNA from Lycium barbarum (goji berry), 937 nucleotides. RefSeq lists it as uncharacterized. NCBI's taxonomy places the organism in Eukaryota, Viridiplantae, Streptophyta, Magnoliopsida, Solanales, Solanaceae. The record is from RefSeq and is a predicted model, not a curated record. The transcript has 2 exons.
CUUCAUUUGAUUUUGUAAGGCUUUCAAGUAUGAAAUCCUAGCUGCUAUUAACCCCUUCUUUCUCUUGGCGUUAUUAAGCCAAAACUGGCAAAAAUUCGGAGUACGUUGCUCUGCCUCAGGCCUGGUAAAGCUGGUUUUGGCAAUGCAUUAAUUGAGAGCUCCCUCUCUCUACUGUGCUUCAAACAAAUAGUGUAGAACCAUCUCAAUCUCUUUUGCCUUUUCUAUGAAUUGCGGUCAAUAAAGGACAAGGGAUUUCUCUCAAUACGAUUUUCAAUUGUUGGUUCCUAUUGGUUUGUUGAGUUUUAAGGUGGGAUUCAAGAUGAAUCCCCAAAGAAACCUCUCAGUCGCACAUCGAAUUUCAACAUAAAAGCUAGAAUUUUGGGGUUCUAUAUAAAGAAACCAAUCUCAUCAUUUUGACACACAUAUAAGUCUCGAACAAGCGCAUAAAAUACCUAAUUGAACUAGGGAUUUAGAAUUUGUUGAAACCUUUAACUAAUUAGGUUUUUAGUCUAAAAAUUUUAUUAUUCUUUUUGUGACUGAGUUUCGAGUGGAGGAGCAAAAAGCUUCAUUUCCAAGCUCGACAAAGGCUACACGAGGAAAUGGUACAGACUACAGAUUUGCUGACCCACAUGCCUAGGACACCUAUUCUGCUAUUCUGGAGCGCUAUUUUGUCCAGAGCCUAUACUCUGGUACAGUCUGCUGCUGUUGUAUAUAUGUACGCUAUUCAGGGGUACGACGGGGCCCUGUCCCGUCUUAUGAUUCUGUUAUGUUCUGUAGAGGUCUGUAGACAUACAUGUGGGUUCUGUAUAUGUUUUGGGUUGCUAUGAUUUGUGAUAGCCUUAUCGGCUUCCAUGUGCUAUAUAUGUUCCUCUCUGACACUAGUAACGUCGACUGACUUUUAUAUUUAUAUAAUCUGCUAGUCUGUUGGUUUGGGUUA